This 369-nucleotide RNase P RNA is filed under the name Pseudomonadota bacterium. RNAcentral describes it as "RNase P RNA component class A". It matches the Rfam family "Bacterial RNase P class A". Rfam says of the family: Ribonuclease P (RNase P) is a ubiquitous endoribonuclease, found in archaea, bacteria and eukarya as well as chloroplasts and mitochondria. Its best characterised activity is the generation of mature 5'-ends of tRNAs by cleaving the 5'-leader elements of precursor-tRNAs. Cellular RNase Ps are ribonucleoproteins. The record is from RNAcentral. RNAcentral also lists the same sequence under 1 other name. Lineage: Bacteria; Pseudomonadati; Pseudomonadota.
GGAGCAGGCCGGGCAGUCGCGGCGCGCGAGCGUCGAGGAAAGUCCGGGCUCCGCAGGGCAGGGUGCUGGGUAACACCCAGCGGGGGCGACCCCAGGGAUAGUGCCACAGAAACAUACCGCCGGCCGGCUUGCCGACCGGUAAGGGUGCAAUGGCGGGGUAAGAGCCCGCCGGCGGUCCGGUGACGGACCGGCCGAGCAAACCCCACCCGGAGCAAGACCAGAUAGGGGGAGAUGAGGCUGCCCGCUGAUCCCCGGGUAGGUCGCUCGAGGUCCCGGGUAACCGGUGACCCCAGAGGGAUGACGGCCGCGCCGGUUGAUGCCGCCAGGCGUCCCGGCGCACAGAACCCGGCUUACAGGCCUGCUCCCCGG